Long non-coding RNA from Acanthochromis polyacanthus (spiny chromis), 889 nucleotides. RefSeq lists it as uncharacterized. The record is from RefSeq and is a predicted model, not a curated record. Lineage: Eukaryota; Metazoa; Chordata; Actinopteri; Pomacentridae. The transcript is spliced from 3 exons.
AGCACUCAACAUGCAGGAUUUGAAGACGGACAAUACAGCUCUCUUUCUGGUGUCUGCUGCUUUGGCUACAAGUCUGAUUGUCAUAGCCUUUCUCAGUUAUUUCAUCAAGACAAAAACUUGUGAUUUCUGCAACGAUGCUGCAGCAGCCAGUGGUCAUCAGGAAAGACCACAGAAGGAUUUGGACACAUGGAUUUAUUCUGCUGUUACCUUUACUGUGGUAAAGACUGACAGCGGUGCAAUAAAGGAGGCCAAAGUAGCAGAGAGAGAGAGGAUCUACACUGCUGUCAAGGCUUUUGGACUGGAUUAGUGAGUUAACAGAUGUUUGGAAUCUGUUUGUAUUGAAUAAUGCAGUGUUGUUUGUUUACUACUAAAGGGCUUUGUAUUUACUGUAGUACAAUGCAUUGAUAACAUUUAGUGAAGAAGUUGUCAUUGUUUUUAAAUGUCUUCAGACUGAAUUUUUUUUUUCAUCCACACACUUGCAAACAGGAAGAACCUCAAACUGAAAUGUUCUUAGUUUGAAAUUUGACUGAAAAUAUUUGUUUCACCUCUCUUCCUCAUUUUGUCACUUCUGUCUGUAAUAAAGCAAUAAAAAAACUUCAAAAGGUACCUUCAAAGGGCGAGCAAUUCAUGUUUUUCAAGCAGAAAUAUAUAAACUGUGCUGUUCAUGUUUCUUCAAGUUAAAUACAGAUACUUGGUUUAAGUGGAAAGUACAGAAAUCAUAAACAACGUGCACAAAUGCUGUCAACAGCAGAGUUCCAGCUAUAAUUUCUUAGAUUUUUUCCCCAUGUUUCUUGCCGAUGUUCAUCACAACUCUCCAGUAAAGUCAAAAUUCCAAAAAAUAAAUCUUCAAGUUCUUACUACUGUCAAUUAAUUUUUUAUUUUUUUUUAA